Molecule: ribosomal RNA, 253 nt
Filed under: uncultured bacterium
Lineage: Bacteria
Description: partial 16S ribosomal RNA
Rfam family: Bacterial small subunit ribosomal RNA
Source: RNAcentral
UACGAAGGGGGCUAGCGUUGCUCGGAAUCACUGGGCGUAAAGCGCACGUAGGCGGCUUUCUAAGUCAGGGGUGAAAUCCUGGAGCUCAACUCCAGAACUGCCUUUGAUACUGGGAAGCUUGAGUCCGGAAGAGGUGAGUGGAACUGCGAGUGUAGAGGUGAAAUUCGUAGAUAUUCGCAAGAACACCAGUGGCGAAGGCGGCUCACUGGCUCGGUACUGACGCUGAGGUGCGAAAGCGUGGGGAGCAAACAGG